AGUGACACUACUUUACUUCUAAAUACAUAGACUGAAGUAGAGGAGUUGAAGAAGAUUAAAGAAUUUGAAGAAAAGUGCUCAGCAAUUGAAAAUGAGAAUCAAGCUAGGAUUGAAGAGGCAGAAGAAGCACAACUAAAAGCAACACAACUUCAAGAGACUAUUGAAAGAUUGGAAGUGAGCUUGUCCAACCUCGAAACUGAAAAUCAAGUGCUAUGCCAGCAGGCAUUGGUAGAAUCCAAAAAUAAAGAUCUUUCCGAAGAGAUCAAAAUCCUAAAGGAUCAGAUAGCAAACCUAGAAUCAGGUAAUGAACGCCUGCCGGACCAGGCAGAAGCAGCUGCCAUGGAGCAGAAAGUAUGGUUGAUGAGAAUGAGGACUAUGAUGAUGAUGAGGAUGAAGAUGAAGAUGACACUAAGAACCAUAA
Molecule: long non-coding RNA, 421 nt
Organism: Arachis duranensis
Lineage: Eukaryota; Viridiplantae; Streptophyta; Magnoliopsida; Fabales; Fabaceae
Exons: 3
Source: RefSeq, a predicted model, not a curated record